This 617-nucleotide ribosomal RNA is filed under the name uncultured bacterium. Its description in RNAcentral is "bacterial SSU rRNA". It matches the Rfam family "Bacterial small subunit ribosomal RNA", at positions 28 to 638 of the family's 1533-position model. The record is from RNAcentral.
AUUGAACGCUGGCGGCGUGCCUAACACAUGCAAGUCGAGCGGUAACAGGUGUAGCAAUACAUGCUGACGAGCGGCGAACGGGUGAGUAAUGCUUUGGAAUCUUCCCAGUAGUGGGGAAUAACCAGUCGAAAGAUUGGCUAAUACCGCAUACGUCUGUAAAGGGAAAGCGGGGGCUCGUAAGACCUCGCGCUAUUGGAUGAGCCAAAGUCGGAUUAGCUAGUUGGUGGGGUAAUGGCCUACCAAGGCGACAAUCCGUAGCUGGUCUGAGAGGACGACCAGCCACACCGGAACUGAGACACGGUCCGGACUCCUACGGGAGGCAGCAGUGGGGAAUAUUGGACAAUGGGGGAAACCCUGAUCCAGCGACGCCGCGUGUGUGAAGAAGGCCUGCGGGUUGUAAAGCACUUUUAGUGGGGACAAAAAGCUACGGAUUAAUACUCUGUGGUCUUGAUUUAACCCAAAGAAAAAGCACCGGCUAACUCUGUGCCAGCAGCCGCGGUAAUACAGAGGGUGCGAGCGUUAAUCGGAAUUACUGGGCGUAAAGCGCGCGUAGACGGUUUUGUAAGUCAGAUGUGAAAUCCCUGGGCUCAACCUGGGAACUGCAUUUGAUACUGCAU